Molecule: unclassified non-coding RNA, 510 nt
Filed under: Fusarium oxysporum
Lineage: Eukaryota; Fungi; Ascomycota; Sordariomycetes; Hypocreales; Nectriaceae
Description: sequence contains ITS1, 5.8S rRNA gene, ITS2
Rfam family: 5.8S ribosomal RNA (bases 165-318)
Source: RNAcentral
UGCGGAGGGAUCAUUACCGAGUUUACAACUCCCAAACCCCUGUGAACAUACCACUUGUUGCCUCGGCGGAUCAGCCCGCUCCCGGUAAAACGGGACGGCCCGCCAGAGGACCCCUAAACUCUGUUUCUAUAUGUAACUUCUGAGUAAAACCAUAAAUAAAUCAAAACUUUCAACAACGGAUCUCUUGGUUCUGGCAUCGAUGAAGAACGCAGCAAAAUGCGAUAAGUAAUGUGAAUUGCAGAAUUCAGUGAAUCAUCGAAUCUUUGAACGCACAUUGCGCCCGCCAGUAUUCUGGCGGGCAUGCCUGUUCGAGCGUCAUUUCAACCCUCAAGCACAGCUUGGUGUUGGGACUCGCGUUAAUUCGCGUUCCCCAAAUUGAUUGGCGGUCACGUCGAGCUUCCAUAGCGUAGUAGUAAAACCCUCGUUACUGGUAAUCGUCGCGGCCACGCCGUUAAACCCCAACUUCUGAAUGUUGACCUCGGAUCAGGUAGGAAUACCCGCUGAACUUAA